RNAcentral lists this ribosomal RNA (451 nucleotides) under uncultured bacterium. RNAcentral's name for it is "partial 16S ribosomal RNA". It matches the Rfam family "Bacterial small subunit ribosomal RNA", at positions 29 to 523 of the family's 1533-position model. The record is from RNAcentral.
AACGAACGCUGGCGGCAGGCUUAACACAUGCAAGUCGAACGGGUGCAGCAAUGCAUCAGUGGCAGACGGGUGAGUAACACGUGGGAACCUUCCUAGGGGUACGGAACAACUCAGGGAAACUUGAGCUAAUACCGUAUACGUCCGUGAGGAGAAAGAUUUAUCGCCCUUAGACGGGCCCGCGUCGGAUUAGCUAGUUGGUGGGGUAACGGCCUACCAAGGCGACGAUCCGUAGCUGAUCUUAGAGGAUGAUCAGCCACACUGGGACUGAGACACGGCCCAGACUCCUACGGGAGGCAGCAGUGGGGAAUCUUGGACAAUGGGCGCAAGCCUGAUCCAGCCAUGCCGCGUGAGUGAAGAAGGUCUUCGGAUUGUAAAGCUCAUUUGCCAGGGACGAUAAUGACGGUACCUGGAGAAUAAGCCCCGGCAAACUUCGUGCCAGCAGCCGCCGUAA